UACACUACAUCUUUUCUUGGACUUUGCUCUCAAAAUAAAGGUAGAGAAAGGUGUAUUGUAGA
Molecule: microRNA precursor, 62 nt
Filed under: Monodelphis domestica (gray short-tailed opossum)
Lineage: Eukaryota; Metazoa; Chordata; Mammalia; Didelphimorphia; Didelphidae
Description: microRNA mdo-mir-12390 precursor
Source: miRBase by way of RNAcentral